This 253-nucleotide ribosomal RNA is filed under the name uncultured bacterium. RNAcentral describes it as "partial 16S ribosomal RNA". It matches the Rfam family "Bacterial small subunit ribosomal RNA", at positions 524 to 776 of the family's 1533-position model. The record is from RNAcentral.
UACAGAGGUCCCAAGCGUUGUUCGGAUUCACUGGGCGUAAAGGGUGCGUAGGUGGUCGGGUAAGUCUGAUGUGAAAUCUCCGAGCCUAACUCGGAAACUGCAUCGGAUACUAUUCAGCUAGAGGAUUGGAGGGGGGACUGGAAUACUUGGUGUAGCAGUGAAAUGCGUAGAUAUCAAGUAGAACACCAGUGGCGAAGGCGAGUCCCUGGACAACUCCUGACGCUGAGGCACGAAAGCGUGGGGAGCAAACAGG